AAGACGUGUUUUCCGCUUCGGACCAUGCCUAAGUCCCUUGGAAAAGGGCAUCAUAGAGGGUGAUAAUCCCGUACAUGGCAUGGAGCGCCCGAAGCUUUGUGAUACGCUUUCUAAGAGUCGAGUUGUUUGGGAAUGCAGCUCAAAAUGGGUGGUAAAUGCCAUCUAAGGCUAAAUAUUGGGGAGAGACCGAUAGCGAACAAGUACAGUGAUGGAAAGAUGAAAAGAACUUUGAAAAGAGAGUUAAACAGUACGUGAAAUUGCCAAAAGGGAAGGGUAGGAGGUCAGAGAUGCGGCCUGGGAUUCAGCCUUGCUUUUGCUUGGUGUUUUUCCCAGAUUGCAGGCCAACGUCGGUUUUGGGCACUGGAGAAGGGUAGGAGGAACGUGGCACCUCUCGGGGUGUGUUAUAGCCUCCUACUGGAUACAGCGACCGAGACCGAGGACAGCAGCGUACUCGCAAGAGCGGGCCUUCGGGCACCUUUACGCUUAGGGCGUUGGCAUAAUGGCCCUCUACCACCCGUCUUG
This 522-nucleotide ribosomal RNA is filed under the name Moesziomyces rugulosus. RNAcentral describes it as "eukaryotic LSU rRNA". It matches the Rfam family "Eukaryotic large subunit ribosomal RNA", at positions 151 to 656 of the family's 3401-position model. The record is from RNAcentral. Lineage: Eukaryota; Fungi; Basidiomycota; Ustilaginomycetes; Ustilaginales; Ustilaginaceae.